This 493-nucleotide ribosomal RNA is filed under the name uncultured bacterium. Its description in RNAcentral is "partial 16S ribosomal RNA". It matches the Rfam family "Bacterial small subunit ribosomal RNA", at positions 29 to 507 of the family's 1533-position model. The record is from RNAcentral.
AGUGAACGCUGGCGGUAGGCCUAACACAUGCAAGUCGAACGGCAGCACAGUAAGAGCUUGCUCUUACGGGUGGCGAGUGGCGGACGGGUGAGGAAUACAUCGGAAUCUACUUUUUCGUGGGGGGAUAACGUAGGGAAACUUACGCUAAUACCGCAUACGACCUACGGGUGAAAGCAGGGGAUCUUCGGACCUUGCGCGAUUGAAUGAGCCGAUGUCGGAUUAGCUAGUUGGCGGGGUAAAGGCCCACCAAGGCGAAGAUCCGUAGCUGGUCUGAGAGGAUGAUCAGCCACACUGGAACUGAGACACGGUCCAGACUCCUACGGGAGGCAGCAGUGGGGAAUAUUGGACAAUGGGCGCAAGCCUGAUCCAGCCAUACCGCGUGGGUGAAGAAGGCCUUCGGGUUGUAAAGCCCUUUUGUUGGGAAAGAAAAGCAGCAGGUUAAUACCCCGCUGUUCUGACGGUACCCAAAGAAUAAGCACCGGCUAACUUCGUG